This is a small nuclear RNA of Sciurus vulgaris (Eurasian red squirrel), 108 nucleotides long. NCBI's taxonomy places the organism in Eukaryota, Metazoa, Chordata, Mammalia, Rodentia, Sciuridae. The record is from Ensembl.
CUGGGUUCAAUCCCCAGCACCAAAAACAAAGCAAAACAACAGAGAAGAAUAGCAUAACUCCUGCGCAAGGAUGAUGAUGAGCAAAUUCAUGAAGCCUUCCAUAUUAAA